UACGGAGGGUGCAAGCAUUGAUCGGAAUUACUGGGCGUAAAGGGCGCGUAGGCGGUCUUGAAAGUCGGAUGUGAAAUUCCGGGGCUCAACCCCGGAGCUGCAUUUGAAACUCCAAGACUAGAGUACAGAUAGAGAAAACGGAAUUCCACGUGUAGCGGUGAAAUGCGUAGAUAUGUGGAAGAACACCGGUGGUGAAGACGGUUUUCCGGUCUGAUACUGACGCUGAGGCGCGAAAGCUAGGGGAGCAAACAGG
Molecule: ribosomal RNA, 253 nt
Filed under: uncultured bacterium
Lineage: Bacteria
Description: partial 16S ribosomal RNA
Rfam family: Bacterial small subunit ribosomal RNA
Source: RNAcentral